RNAcentral lists this transfer RNA (74 nucleotides) under Leucobacter sp. UCD-THU. It matches the Rfam family "tRNA". From Rfam's summary of the family: Transfer RNA (tRNA) molecules are approximately 80 nucleotides in length. Their secondary structure includes four short double-helical elements and three loops (D, anti-codon, and T loops). The record is from Rfam by way of RNAcentral. Lineage: Bacteria; Bacillati; Actinomycetota; Actinomycetes; Micrococcales; Microbacteriaceae.
CGGGUUGUGGCGCAGCUUGGUAGCGCACCUGACUGGGGGUCAAGGGGUCGCAGGUUCGAAUCCUCUCAACUUGA